RNAcentral lists this ribosomal RNA (422 nucleotides) under uncultured microorganism. Its description in RNAcentral is "bacterial SSU rRNA". It matches the Rfam family "Bacterial small subunit ribosomal RNA", at positions 9 to 429 of the family's 1533-position model. The record is from RNAcentral.
GAGUUUGAUCUUGGCUCAGAUUGAACGCUGGCGGCAUGCCUUACACAUGCAAGUCGAACGGCAGCAUGAUCUAGCUUGCUAGAUUGGUGGCGAGUGGCGAACGGGUGAGUAAUACAUCGGAACGUGCCCUGUAGUGGGGGAUAACUAGUCGAAAGAUUAGCUAAUACCGCAUACGACCUGAGGGUGAAAGUGGGGGACCGCAAGGCCUCAUGCUAUAGGAGCGGCCGAUGUCUGAUUAGCUAGUUGGUGGGGUAAAGGCCCACCAAGGCGACGAUCAGUAGCUGGUCUGAGAGGACGAUCAGCCACACUGGGACUGAGACACGGCCCAGACUCCUACGGGAGGCAGCAGUGGGGAAUUUUGGACAAUGGGCGAAAGCCUGAUCCAGCAAUGCCGCGUGUGUGAAGAAGGCCUCGGUUGUAAG